RNAcentral lists this transfer RNA (97 nucleotides) under Rhodospirillaceae bacterium. Its description in RNAcentral is "tRNA-Sec". It matches the Rfam family "Selenocysteine transfer RNA". Lineage: Bacteria; Pseudomonadati; Pseudomonadota; Alphaproteobacteria; Rhodospirillales; Rhodospirillaceae. The record is from RNAcentral.
GGAGGAGGAUCGGCGCCCGGUGGGCCGCGCGGGCUUCAAACCCGUUGAGACGCGCCAGCGCGUGUCUGGUGGGUUCGACUCCCACCCUCUUCCGCCA